GUUUGUGUGUGGAUGAUGCUCUCAAAGUAGCGACAUCCCUGAAGCACCACAUCCAAAACCUUCAGGACACUUGAAUAAACCACUCCUGGUAUUGAAAGGUGCUGCUUCUCCAAAAGACAAGCACACGCAGAAGCUGGUCACCGUGGAGGUGUUCCCGGUACACAGGAGAGGUGGAUAAGGGGCCUUUCGCGUCGUUGCAGGAUGGAAGGGAACAUGCAAAACUAAGCCCUCUUUCCCCGAGGACUGAAAUCUUUCCCGGGAGCCAAAACUCUAAACCCACGGGAGAGACUCAGUCAGAAAAUGACGCUCAUGGGGCGUGGCUUUUACCAUAUAUGGAGCUCUGACGAUUCCUGUCAAGCAGUGGCGCUCGACUGUUCGAGUAUUAGCCUAUAGAAGCAACCUGAGAACACUCGCUCUACUUUUCUCUUGCAAUGUGAGUCAAGCCACAUGAAUAGCCAUCCUGAGCACACACACAAACACACACUGACAAACUGAUCAUCUUAAAAAAGCAACGCCCUGGUGCUCACUUGGCCUACUUUCCACGGCAUGCAGCAGCAGUAGCAGCAGCAGCAGAGGGACGUGGGAAGAAAAGGAAAAACAUUCAGGAGCUCUCUGGGAAGAAUACUUCAUACCAUCUACACACAAUACCCAAUAUCUGUUUAUAUACUAUUGUCUACUCACUGUGUCUGCAUAUACUGUUUUCUCAACAUAGCUCAUCCUAAUGUGCCAACUACUGUCCAUACAAUUUUUUCUCAUAUUACAGUGCCUUCAAAUGACAGUGCCUGCAUACCCCUCGACUUAUUCCACAUUUUGUUGUGUUACAGACUCAAUUAAAAAUGGAUUAAAUAAAAAAAAAAAUCGACCAUCUACACACAAUACCCAAUAUCUGUUUAUAUACUAUUGUUUACUCACUGUGUAUGCAUAUACUGUUUUCUCAACAUAGCUCAUCCUAAUGUGCCAACUACAGUCCAUACAAUUUUUUCCCAUAUUACAGUGCCUUCAAAUUACAGUGCCUGCAUACCCCUCAACUUAUUUCACAUUUUGUUGUGUUACAGACUGAAUUAAAAAUUGAUACAAAUAAAUAAAAAUCUACCAUCUACACACAA
Molecule: non-coding RNA, 1106 nt
Organism: Oncorhynchus mykiss (rainbow trout)
Lineage: Eukaryota; Metazoa; Chordata; Actinopteri; Salmoniformes; Salmonidae
Source: RefSeq, a predicted model, not a curated record